RNA transcript from Rhincodon typus (whale shark), 3661 nucleotides. It is a transcript of the gene named synaptonemal complex protein 2-like, with no coding region annotated. Lineage: Eukaryota; Metazoa; Chordata; Chondrichthyes; Orectolobiformes; Rhincodontidae. The record is from RefSeq and is a predicted model, not a curated record. The transcript has 36 exons.
CCUUUUGUGCUGAAGUAGUUCCAUAAUGAUUCUUUCUUUGGACCUUAUUGACUAAAGCACUACUACUGUUAAACUCCCUAUCCUUUCCUGUCUUGCCCUAUUGUCUUCACCCAAAUCUCAAUACAGCCUUCUUGCCUUUAUUUUCCAAAUCUCCCUUAACUUGACCCUUCCUCACCCUUAGAGUUUAAAAACAGUUAUUGUUAAAUGAUUCACCAGAUUACUGAUUCCAGCCCUGUUUAAAUGGAGCCUAUGCUAAUGGAACAUUCCCCUCUUUCCCCAACACCAGUGCUGUAGUCCCAUAAAUCAAACAUCACAUACACCACUCUUUGGGUUAUGGAUUCAAUUCUCUAAUCUAUGACAAACGGUGCAGAGAUUAUUAACUUUGAGGUUCUGUGUUUUGAUUUGGUCCCUUACUCCUCAAACUCUCAGCAAGGCAUUCUUCUCAGCCCUACCUAUGAAGCUGAUUCCUACAUGGACCACGAGAACUGGGUCUUCUCCUUUCCACUCCAGACUUGUCUACAAGGAGAAGCAUUUUUCUCCUAAAUCAACCUAUCAAACCUCUUAACUUAGACUUCAAUUAAUUCGCCCUUCAAUUUUUCUCUUCUCAAGGGAAGAAGAAUUGUACUGGGCAAGUAAAGGAGUGACUGAAGGUAUGCCAGUUAAAAAGGAAUUCAUGCUUUGUUCACUCAUUGAAGGUGCCUUUAAUGUCAAUGAAUUUAAAGCUUUGGAGGAAUUUCUGACAAAUGAAGCUGAAUAUCCACCUCAGAAAUGCAAAAAGCCACUUGUAAACAAACUUGAUAAACUAGCUCACAAGGAAAUGGACAAAAAUCAGUUCACAAAUGUCUCGUUACUGUUGAAAACAUUGCAGAAGCUCUGUAAAGAGGAUAGCGAUGAUGGUCUCAGUUGUCUAAUUAAACAUGGACUUAUUCAGAAGAUGCUCGUAUGGUUUGAACGAGCAACUGAUUUUAUGAAAACUGCAGAACUAAAAUCUAAUGAAGCACUUAUGACUCUUAUUGAAGACAUGUUUGAUACUGUUUUGGCAAUAUGUAAAUGCAGUAACGAAGGGAGAACUCAACUUAUGGACACUUUUGUGAUACAAUUAGGGCACGGGGUGACUGACUUCCGUCUUAAAAUUUCUAUACGACUAGAGGCUGUAAGAACCUUCAACUCCAUGCUUGACUUAAUCUCUCGUGAAGGAAAAAUAAAAUUUCACCUAUCUGAGGAUGCAAAAGGUCUAAUGCUUGAUUUGGCAAGAACCAUUCUGGAUGUUGGGGAUUAUGAAAUUCAGGUUGCCAUUUCUGAAGCACUAUGCCGAAUGACUGAUAGAAAGACAAGAGAGACUCUGAUUUAUAAAUGGUUUGAUGAGCCUAAUGCAAAUGCUUUCAAAGAGAUCAGAGAUUCUGAAUUUGAAACUGAUUGUAGAAAAUUUCUCAAUUCAUUAAAUGAAAGCCUUCACAGUAAGAGAAGAGUUUAUACCUAUCCAUGCAAUUCUGCAUUCCUCGAUUUGAAUGAGUUAAAAAUACCAGCUGACGAUAAAUUGGAAAAGUUUUGGAUUGAUUUCAAUCUGGGAAGUCGCAGUGUAACUUUUUUCAUUAAAGAUGACAGUCAGGACAAUGAGGUGGACCUCUGGGAGACUGUGAGUUUAUUGCAAGAUGGAGUCAAAAGUUUUAGUGUGCUAGAAGUAAAUACAACUACAGUUCUCCUCAUAAAUCUGAAAGGAAUGCUGUCUGUGAGUAAAAAGAAAGGAAGAAAGGUGAAAAUAUAUUUCGACUCCACAUUUGAUGUCCUGAGCACAACCAAAUUGGUGUAUGGCGAAGAGAAACUACUGAAUUUGGUCUCAUCUCCUAUGGAAUCUCAACUGAAGAGCACAAGACUGGCCUCAAAUAAGCUGACAGUUAUUAGAAGCCGACUUUCAACUGUGGACAAGUUUGAAAUAAUGUAUCCUGCCAGUGAUGGUGAACUUGUGAGAAAGCUUGAUUCAACACAGCCUGAAGAGGAAAGAUACUACAGUGAUACGGGAAUACAGCUGCGUAAAUCAGUAAAGGUAACCAAUAAACUGAAAAACUCAACUGCCUUGGAGUCCAGCAAAAGUAGAAUACAGUGUUGUUCAACUAUGUGUACUGGAACGGAUCUAACAAGAUUGGGACAACAAACAAAAGAUGUCGAGAAUGAUUGCAUACAAAAUUUGGAUUCUAAAGAAGGACAAAGUUUUGCUGAAGCUGCUGUCAGUGUGUCUCCGCCAUCAAGUUCAAAGAAAAUCAGACCUCCUGACACAGCAGAACUGAAGCCACAUAUAGAUGCAGAGGAUACAGGGAUAACCACUGCAGAUAAAGAGCACAAUAUGACUGAGCUUAAAAGAGCAUGGAGUAAACCUACGGAAAAGGAUGUUUUCGAUUUUGAAACUUCUUCUGAUUCUGCAGCGAAUUUACAGGUCAGUGAAGCCAAAAGGAGAAUUCCUGGAAGGAAAAGUCUGUCUUUUGAUGAAGUCUGCAAUCUGAAAGUUGCAACUAGAAGUAAGCAAAUAAACAGAAGAGGAGAAAUGCUUAAAAGAAGUGAUGUAAAGGAGUUCUUCACGGAAGAUUCAAGUAGUGAGGACAUUGAACGCAGCUGGAUCUUGGAACCCCAAGUCAUAGUUACUCCAAAUGCUGCAAACUACAGUAAAUGUAGAAAAAGAAAAAAAUCUAGCUUAAGAGUUUUGCCACUCUCUGAAUCCAGUGAAGAUGAGCAGGAACCGAGAAAGGUAACUGAGAAAACACAGCUGCAAACUCAAGAAGAAAAACAAAAUAUGCCUCCAUCUGGACAGAUUAUGCCAGAAUUUCCAGAUCGACAUCAGACACUAGUUCCUGUACAGAAAGCUAAGAGGAUUAAAACUGAUGAUAUUGCAAUUGGAAGCAAUCUGGUAUUUGAGACAUCACUGUUAACUCCUCCAGACACAUUAGAGAAAGUGAAGAUACCAUCAAGUAAGUUUUGGGGGAAGAUGUCCACAAAGGUUCAGGUCCCAGCAAAUGAAGAGCACACAUCAGAUGAUGCAUUCACAGUGCAACAAUCCACAAGUACUCUCCUAGAAAGGCCUGACACUGAUGGUAGUUAUCCAAAUAAAGAUGAAACCAUACUAACUCCUUUUCCACAUUUUAAAGCAAAAAGGCUGUUUGCAUCAUCUGAGAAGUCUGAGAAAGGUUCAGAAGAAAUGGUGCAGGAAAUCACAACGCCACUCUCUGAGUUGGAUGGUGAAGAGUUGAGUGACCUAAACAUCAGUGCAAUAUUUCAGAACUUCACUGAAGAAAUGAGGAAGUUGAAGUUUUGUUUCAGGAAAAUGGAAGAACACUCCAAGCAGUCCCUGCAGUCUGCUCAACAGAAAAUAGCUAUGUUGUUGAAUCAGAUUCACAAAUCCAGGCUACAGAAAUUGAAUAUGUUUGAGGAAACACUUGUACGGGAACUGAAGAACCUUAAAGAAGAUGUGCAAGCAGUAAAGAACUUGGAGGAAGAAACUCUCGUAUGUGAUUGUUGGAUACUCUUUUUUUCUUAGAAUAACCAGUCGUCAAUAGAACUUUUGGAAGGAGCAGUCUCUUAAGUUCUUGCAGUUUUAUGAAAAUCAAGAACAAAGAAUGAAACCGCUGAUCUCCUCCCCAGAAGAUAAGCUUGGAAACGCAAAUUGAUAUGA